This 256-nucleotide ribosomal RNA is filed under the name uncultured bacterium. RNAcentral's name for it is "partial 16S ribosomal RNA". It matches the Rfam family "Bacterial small subunit ribosomal RNA", at positions 524 to 776 of the family's 1533-position model. The record is from RNAcentral.
UACGGAGGAUCCAAGCGUUAUCCGGAAUCAUUGGGUUUAAAGGGUCCGUAGGCGGUUUGGUAAGUCAGCGGUGAAAGCCCAUCGCUCAACGGUGGAACGGCCAUUGAUACUGCCAGACUUGAAUUAUUAGGAAGUAACUAGAAUAUGUAGUGUAGCGGUGAAAUGCUUAGAGAUUACAUGGAAUACCAAUUGCGAAGGCAGGUUACUACUAAUGGAUUGACGCUGAUGGACGAAAAGCGUGGGGUAGCGAAACAGG